GAAAUCAGACCGGUGGUACUAAGCGUACGACAAGUAGGGCGGGACACGAGAAAUCCUGUCUGAAUAUGGGGGGACCAUCCUCCAAGGCUAAAUACUCGUAAUCGACCGAUAGUGAACCAGUACCGUGAGGGAAAGGCGAAAAGAACCCCGGGAGGGGAGUGAAAUAGAUCCUGAAACCGUGUGCAUACAAACAGUAGGAGCCUCCUUGUGGGGUGACUGCGUACCUUUUGUAUAAUGGGUCAGCGACUUACAUUCAGUGGCAAGGUUAACCGAAUAGGGAAGCCGUAGAGAAAUCGAGUCCGAACAGGGCGAUAGUCGCUGGGUGUAGACCCGAAACCAAGUGAUCUACUCAUGGCCAGGAUGAAGGUGCGGUAACACGCACUGGAGGUCCGAACCCACUAAUGUUGAAAAAUUAGGGGAUGAGCUGUGGGUAGGGGUGAAAGGCUAAACAAACUUGGAAAUAGCUGGUUCUCUCCGAAAACUAUUUAGGUAGUGCCUCAAGUAUCACCAUCGGGGGUAGAGCACUGUUAUGGCUAGGGGGUCAUCGCGACUUACCAAACCAUUGCAAACUCCGAAUACCGAUGAGUGCGAGCUUGGGAGACAGACGUCGGGUGCUAACGUCCGGCGUCAAGAGGGAAACAACCCAGACCGCCAGCUAAGGUCCCAAAGAUUGGCUAAGUGGAAAACGAAGUGGGAAGGCUAAAACAGUCAGGAUGUUGGCUUAGAAGCAGCCAUCAUUUAAAGAAAGCGUAAUAGCUCACUGAUCGAGUCGUCCUGCGCGGAAGAUGUAACGGGGCUAAGCCAGUCACCGAAGCUGCGGAUAUCCGUAAGGAUAUGGUAGGAGAGCGUUCUGUAAGCCUGCGAAGGUGUCUUGUAAAGGAUGCUGGAGGUAUCAGAAGUGCGAAUGCUGACAUGAGUAGCGAUAAUGGGGGUGAAAAGCCCCCACGCCGUAAGCCCAAGGUUUCCUGUUCAACGUUCAUCGGAGCAGGGUGAGUCGGCCCCUAAGGCGAGGCAGAGAUGCGUAGCUGAUGGGAAGCAGGUUAAUAUUCCUGCACCGUCGUAUGAUGCGAUGGGGGGACGGAUCGCGGAAGGUUGUCUGACUGUUGGAAUAGUCAGUUUCUGCUUCAUAG
This 1130-nucleotide ribosomal RNA is filed under the name Duganella sp. OV458. RNAcentral's name for it is "bacterial LSU rRNA". It matches the Rfam family "Bacterial large subunit ribosomal RNA", at positions 381 to 1524 of the family's 2925-position model. The record is from RNAcentral. Lineage: Bacteria; Pseudomonadati; Pseudomonadota; Betaproteobacteria; Burkholderiales; Oxalobacteraceae.